Molecule: long non-coding RNA, 815 nt
Organism: Acinonyx jubatus (cheetah)
Lineage: Eukaryota; Metazoa; Chordata; Mammalia; Carnivora; Felidae
Exons: 4
Source: RefSeq, a predicted model, not a curated record
ACAAUAUCGAGAAAACCCACUGGCCUCUGAGGACAAGAAAGAGUGAUUUCAUAGUGACGCUGCGUCUUGGGGCUGCUGUUUGGGUCUGAUAGCCAGUGCACUUUCAGGGUGAAGAACUGUGUGCUAUUGAAGAUUCUCUCCUAUUUCUUCAAAAGGCCCAUGCUCAUCAAGAGGCUAGGGAGAGGAGUGUGGAUUCAGGAACCCGAGUUAUCGAAAGCCCAUGUACUGGGUACUACAUUAUACAGAAACCCCAAGAAGAGUGAGCAGCAAGUUAAACAUCUUUUACUAAGGGCUGCCUUUCUUUUAACUAUCUUUCUGUAUCCUGGAGCUCAUUGGUCUUACUGUGGCAUUCUGCAAAGGUAGUCUGAUUUCAUUAAGUGAGAGAGUGACAGGAUGUUUCCUGAGACGUGUUUUGCCAAUAGGAAUACAGCAUACAAUGCAUAAGGUAUGUAUUAAAAAAUCAUCAGAAAUGCUAUAUAGGUAUAAGUCACUACAUCAAAACAUAUUUCUGUUCAAAACCAUAUAUUUUUAUUCAGUCCAGAAAUACUUUUUGAAUAUAUGUCAAAAGUUUUAAGGUGUUAAUAUCACAUUGUAUUCUUUAGCUACUCAAGAAGAUAGGCAUUGUCCCUUAGUUAACACAUUUGAUAUUCUUUGGGUUUUAAAAUAAAAAUUAAUAUACUCACUUUAUUUAAAUUUCAAUAUUACACAAGAUUGACAUAAAAUGGAAAGUAAAGAUCUCCUUCCUCCCUCCAAAAUUUCUAUUAACACUCCUCAGAAAUAGCCACCCUUAACAGUUUUUUUGUGUAUCUUUUCAA